GGAAAGUUUGCUUCCCUUCGCCAACUGUUCACAGCUAAGAAGACUAGAAAUUCUGAAUGAAGGGGUAAGUUUUGGAAUAUAUCGUUUUGUUCCAGCUCAAAGAAAUUUGUGCUGUCAUAGAGAUAUAAAUUGUCAGUGAGUUUGGUUAAUUGAUCAGAUUAUGAUGAUUAGCAAAGGAACGAAAUGUUGGAAAAUGAUGUUGAUGAGGGAAGUUGGUUCGUAAAUAAAAAGAUGGUUAGAGGACUUACUUGCAUUGUCUCCUGACCUUGUUCUAAAUCCACGUAUCUGCUUUACAAC
RNAcentral lists this unclassified non-coding RNA (297 nucleotides) under Hevea brasiliensis (rubber tree). Lineage: Eukaryota; Viridiplantae; Streptophyta; Magnoliopsida; Malpighiales; Euphorbiaceae. The record is from RNAcentral.